GUAGUCCUAGCCGUAAACGGUGCACGUUUGCUGUAAAAGGAAUCGACCCCUUUUGUGGCGAAGCUAACGCGUUAAACGUGCCGCCUGGGAAGUACGGUCGCAAGAUUAAAACUCAAAGAAAUUGACGGGGGCCUGCACAAGCGGUGGAGUAUGUGGCUUAAUUCGAUGCAACGCGAAGAACCUUACCUGGCCUUGACAUGCAUAUAGUAGAAGCCUGAAAGGGUGACGAGGUAGCAAUACCAGUAUGCACAGGUGCUGCAUGGCUGUCGUCAGCUCGUGUCGUGAGAUGUUGGGUUAAGUCCCGCAACGAGCGCAACCCUUGCGUCCAGUUGCCACCUGACCGAAAGGUUGGAGCACUCUGGAUGGACUGCCUCGUUUAAACGAGGA
This 387-nucleotide ribosomal RNA is filed under the name uncultured bacterium. RNAcentral's name for it is "bacterial SSU rRNA". It matches the Rfam family "Bacterial small subunit ribosomal RNA", at positions 790 to 1167 of the family's 1533-position model. The record is from RNAcentral.